This is a non-coding RNA of Podarcis lilfordi (Lilford's wall lizard), 2611 nucleotides long. The record is from the annotation of a GenBank genome assembly. NCBI's taxonomy places the organism in Eukaryota, Metazoa, Chordata, Lepidosauria, Squamata, Lacertidae.
CCUCCUCCCUGGCCGGCAGGGAGGGAGGGAGAGGAGCUGCUUCCUUUGAAACCCGGGAGAUUUAAGAGACAUCAUCAAUAAGGGACAGCAGCGGAACACAGCGCUGGGAUAAGGGACUUUCCCGCCAUAUAAGGGACGGUUGACAGCUAUGUUCCAAGGUAAAAUCAGAAACCGGGACGGCUUCUGUAAAUCUGGGACUAGAAAAUUGGGAUAGUCAGAGGGGCUGCUUCUGAGGAGACCCUGCUCGUGGGUUGGCGACAACUCAGAAGCAGGCCUUUCCCCGAGACGGCGACCCCUUCCCCCCGAAUGCCCUGGAUCAGAUUAACUCGUGAAGCAGAGGCCAGAAUGACCUUUAAACGCCUCUUAAAAAUGUACACGUUUGCACCAGUUUCUCCUGGACUCUGCCUCUCUUUGCUGUUUUGAAGAAUGCUCAGUUUGGGUGGGAGCCAGUCAAAGUCGUUUCACAAAGGGCAAAGACUACUGGCUGCCCAAUAGAACUUCCCUACCCUCUCCCCUCCCCUCCCCACCCUCUAAAUCUUCUGGGGGGGGUUCCCCCCACCCUCCAGAGCAGAUUUUCGGAGGGCAACGUGGCGGCCAGGGCAGCGGCGGGAGGGGCAAUGGGGACUUUGCAUUUCACCUGCAAAAACCCUUCCGUGCGCGGGGAGAAUUCAUUGACUAACAGGCUUCCGUUUGUGAUUAUACGGUUGCAUUAUUAUUUGUUAAAUAGUUUUCAAUGAAUUUUAUUUAUCUGCUUAAGGAACAUGAUAUGGAACUGUUAUAUGAACUUCCUUAGAGGUUGGAUGGCCAUCUCAUAGAAUCAUAGAGUUGGAAGAGACCACAAGGGCCAUCGAGUCCAAAGGGCCAUCUGUCCUGGAUGCUUUAGCUGAGAUUCCUGUAUUGCAGUGUUGUAAACAAAAAUCUGCCCUUUUUCCCUUAUGGGGUAUCCAAGAGCCCAUAUAGCAUCCUUACGUGGGUUCCCUAUCGGUAGGAGAAAAUAACAGAGGCCAAUCAGAGAAUAUUGAGAAGCAAAGCAGCUAGUAAGCCUGAUCUAUAUUGAUCUGUUGCAACGGGGUGCUCCCCUCACACACAGGAGAGAGGAGGAACCCAGAACCCAGGUGUGCCUGCCCUUAUAUAGACAUUUUAAAUUCCCUGCCCUGGAGCUCAAGACCACCCCUCCAUACAUCAUACCUACAUCACAGAGAAGGCGGUCUACAACAGAAAUCCGAGUGUGUUGUUUAUCUCAUCUGACAGGUUACCUGUUAAUGCUCACUUGAUUGGAUACCCUGGGGAGCCUGGCCAGUCUUUUGUAAUGAUAAACACUUAGUUCCUGAGCCAGGUCACAGGCUCACCCUAUUCAAACACAGACAGACAUACCCUCAAGACAGGAUUAGUGAAGGAAAGGACAAUGGUGAGGCUUUUCCAUUUUCCUUUGACCUUGCAGAGAAAACAUUUGGUCAGUUUGGGAAUCAAAAAAUGGUUCCAGGUCGGUCUUCCUGUGCUGAUCUAUGUACGUGCUUGCUUGGUACGUUUAUGAACAUUUAUUAUAUAUCUAAGACGUUAAAAUUCUUAUCACAGCAGGGGGUUGGGCUAGAGGACCUCUGGGGACCCCCUUCCAGCCCUACAAUUCUAUAUUACACUUCAUAUUUCGCAGGAAAAGCCAGAUAUGAAAAAGUUAAUCUCCUGCCGUCACUCCAGGUGCCCUUUGUGCCAGUCUCCCAGGCCAGAAAAUGAUGCUGUGUUGCUUCCCGGUACCCAAAUUUAUCCCUCCCCCCUCUGUGCAGGCUUGCCAACUUUUGCCCCAUUGCUCACGCCUCCCCAUUCAUCUGGAAAACAAGAGUGUUUUGGUGCUUAAAUAUAGCCGCUCCCAAGGCCCCAGGCGCUGAUAAAUCGCCUUGUUUACGCCUCAUGAAUGUUUACUGCCGUCCUGGGAAAGAUGGAAAGAUGGAACUUUCACCCUGAUGUUGAGAGCUGCUGUUCAGACAACGUUCCCCGCCCCCCCUGCUUCUCAGACCUGAAUAUAAUAUACAGUGGUACCUCGGGUUAAGUACUUAAUUCGUUCUGGAGGUCCGCUCUUAAACUGAAACUGUUCUUAACCUGAAGCACCACUUUAGCUAAUGGGGCCUCCUGCCGCUGCCGUGCCGCUGGAACACGAUUUCUGUUCUUAUCCUGAAGCAAAGUUCUUAACCUGAAGCACUAUUUCUGGGUUAGCGGAGUCUGGUUCUGGUUCUUCCUUCCUCACAUAGGUGAGGAAUCAUAUGAUUAUAUGCUGUCUUGGAGUUUUUAAUUUGAUUCAACACAAGUAAUUAUUAAUAUUGAUUAUUUUCAGUUCUUAUCUCUGAGAAACGUAGAAAAUAACAGGAUAUAUUUAUCUGAAAACUUACACGACCCUUAAAAAAUUAGGUAAGGAACCAAAUGUUAUAUAAUACUGUUUUAUAAUUUAUGACUGUCUUAUAAUUUAUGAUAAUGUAGAAUUUAAAUGCAUUUUCAUGUAAUAUUUGAUGCUUCCAGCUGAUGAAGGUGAAUACAUCGAAACAGGACCCUGUCCUAGUUUCUGAUCCAUAACUGACUUCUACUCAAUGAUUAAAACUAAGACCUUCACGUCAAAUCUGAC